RNAcentral lists this long non-coding RNA (330 nucleotides) under Brassica napus (rape). RNAcentral describes it as "long non-coding RNA (BNAP_LNC010035)". Lineage: Eukaryota; Viridiplantae; Streptophyta; Magnoliopsida; Brassicales; Brassicaceae. The record is from RNAcentral.
AGACACCAAAUUAUAUAUUGUCUCCAAAACAAGCCAUCUCGCCCAUGUAACUGGUCAACCGAACAUGAGCUACACCCACAAUCCGUAAAAGUCCACCGUAUCAACAACCCAACAGACCACAAUGUCCAAAAUUCCUGUUCCAAAUAACUCCACAACCAAGAAACCAAUACCCGGUAAUAAGACAACAGAACCAGACCGCAGUUUAUCACAAACCUUACGUGCAUAUAUACUCUCCAAAUUAUCAUGCAACGCAGCUUAAGAUACUUCAUAAUCCAACUCAACGCAAACCACACCAAUAUCAAAUAUUGACCUUCCAUCUUCACCUCUUUC